Molecule: long non-coding RNA, 829 nt
Organism: Pseudopipra pipra
Lineage: Eukaryota; Metazoa; Chordata; Aves; Passeriformes; Pipridae
Exons: 2
Source: RefSeq, a predicted model, not a curated record
UAACCAAUUCUGCCUCAGACAAGAGCUUCUUUGAAGAGACACCCCUCUUAAAAGCUCAGCAAAAAAAUUAAGAAUAAAAACAAAUCAACACAUUACUAGGAGCCAGGGCUUGUUUAUCCAUUUCCAAGAACUUUGGCUGUUCAAGUCUUCCCUGAUGAGAUUCAGAGCACAUCUCAGCCCCCAAAACUCCGAGGGGGAGAAACAAGACCAGUCUCCAACUUCGAGCAUCGCGUGCAACCGCUGCGUGACACUGCUCUGUGCAUCCCGCAUCAAGAAACCAGAACCAAUGAUCCUGAUCCUGCAGAAGUUAAUUGCAGAAUUCCUAGGACCCUAAUGAUUACACCUACAGUUAUAAGUUUCCUUAUUUGAAAGGAAAAACUCGUUUCAGAGCCACUUUCCUCUGCUGUUGUUACUGCGCAGAGGGAUGACAACCACCUGACCCACAGAACACGGCUCAGUGUCAGGCCACCCUCCUCAUGUGAAAUAAGAAAUAAUCUCCAUAAUCUGACUUCUGUCACUAUUUUUAAUUAACAGAAUUCUAGUAUCUAAAGCAGCUCCUGAGCUGUGGCCAAGCACAAGCUGGCACAACUGUUAAUGUGCUUAACUCACAUACAGCUCUCAUCUACUCACUUCAUGGUUUCCAAACUACAGUGGGCUAUAAACCAACUGCAAACUACAAACACACAUUCCCCCAGGGCUGGCAGGAAUAAGCCACUGCCUUCAGGCAGAAAGAGUUAGGAGGCUCUCAAAUGCUCUCAAUAUCUAAUUAAGGCAUUUGUAAUUAUAACAGUAAUAGUAAAUUUUUUAUAAAACAUUUAAAUUUAUUUUA